ACUACAGACCGGGAUAUCGCGGGCUUUUUAUAAGCACGAGGAAAGUCCGGACAGCACAGGGCAGCUCACCACCUAACGGGUGGGGGCCGUUUCCGGAAGGAGCCGGCUACAGCAAGUGCCACAGAAAAUAACCACCCGGUUGUGUAUACGGCCGGGUACGGGUGAAAACGUAGGGUAAAAGCCUACGGCGGCGGCUGGCAACAACCGUCUGCGGGUAAACCUUGGGUGCUGAAAUGCCAAAUAGGCAUGCGUCCUGAUUUCGGUCCGGAGCGGGCGGCCCGUCCGAUGCAUGUGGGUUGGCAGCUACAGGCGGCGCGUGAGCGUCUCCGCAGAUAAAUGAUAUCCGGUCCCGUCUGGGAUCACAGAAUCCGGCUUACAGGUCUGUAGUGAUU
RNAcentral lists this RNase P RNA (392 nucleotides) under Sphingobacteriales bacterium. RNAcentral's name for it is "Bacterial RNase P class A". It matches the Rfam family "Bacterial RNase P class A". Rfam says of the family: Ribonuclease P (RNase P) is a ubiquitous endoribonuclease, found in archaea, bacteria and eukarya as well as chloroplasts and mitochondria. Its best characterised activity is the generation of mature 5'-ends of tRNAs by cleaving the 5'-leader elements of precursor-tRNAs. Cellular RNase Ps are ribonucleoproteins. Lineage: Bacteria; Pseudomonadati; Bacteroidota; Sphingobacteriia; Sphingobacteriales. The record is from Rfam by way of RNAcentral.